RNAcentral lists this non-coding RNA (122 nucleotides) under Anas platyrhynchos (mallard). RNAcentral's name for it is "Eukaryotic large subunit ribosomal RNA". It matches the Rfam family "Eukaryotic large subunit ribosomal RNA", at positions 1640 to 1761 of the family's 3401-position model. The record is from Rfam by way of RNAcentral. Lineage: Eukaryota; Metazoa; Chordata; Aves; Anseriformes; Anatidae.
UGCGGUAACGCAAGCGAUCCCGGAGAAGCCGGCGGGAGCCCCGGGGAGAGUUCUCUUUUCUUUGUGAAGGGCCGGGCGCCCUGGAACGGGUUCGCCCCGAGAGAGGGGCCCGCGCCUUGGAA